GUUUUUGCAAGAGAUUAAGAAUUCUCCAUCUGUAGAUUAUGGCCGCAUGGCUGAAAUACUAGUGCAAAGGGCAGGCUCACAGGAUGAAUUUACUAGGCUGACUUCUAUCACUUGGAUAAAUGAAUUUGUGAAACUUGGUGGAGAUCAACUUGUCCCUUAUUAUGCUGAUAUUCUGGGAGCAAUAUUGCCUUGUAUAUCUGAUAAAGAAGAGAAAAUAAGAGUUGUUUCUCGUGAAACAAAUGACGAACUUCGUGCAAUUGAGGCUGAUCCAGCUGAGGGUUUUGAUGUAGGAGCAAUCCUCUCUGUUGCUAGGAGGCAG
Molecule: unclassified non-coding RNA, 319 nt
Filed under: Hevea brasiliensis (rubber tree)
Lineage: Eukaryota; Viridiplantae; Streptophyta; Magnoliopsida; Malpighiales; Euphorbiaceae
Source: RNAcentral